GUUAUGGUUAUUAGGGUAAGGGUAUAGGUUAUGGUUAUUAGGGUAAGGGUAUAGGUUAUGGUUAUUAGGGUAAGGGUAUAGGUUAUGGUUAUUAGGGUAAGGGUAUGGGUUAUGGUUAUUAGGGUAUAGGUUAUGGUUAUUAGGGUAAGGGUAUGGGUUAUGGUUAUUAGGGUAAGGGUAUGGGUUAUGGUUAUUAGGGUAAGGGUAUGGGUUAUGGUUAUUAGGGUAAGGGUAUGGGUUAUGGUUAUUAGGGUAAGAGUAUAGGUUAUGGUUAUUCGGGUAUAGGUUAUGGUUAUUAGGGUAAGGGUAUGGGUUAUGGUUAUUAGGGUAAGGGUAUAGGUUAUGGUUAUUAGGGUAAUGGUAUAGGUUAUGGUUAUUAGGGUAAGGGUAUAGGUUAUGGUUAUUAGGGUAUAGGUUAUGGUUAUUAGGGUAUAGGUUAUGGUUAUUAGGGUAAGGGUAAGGGUAUAGGUUAUGGUUAUUAGGGUAUAGGUUAUGGUUAUUAGGGUAUGGGUUAUGGUUAUUAGGGUAUAGGUUAUGGUUAUUAGGGUAAGGGUAUGGGUUAUGGUUAUUAGGGUAAGAGUAUAGGUUAUGGUUAUUAGGGUAUAGGUUAUGGUUAUUAGGGUAAGGGUAUGGGUUAUGGUUAUUAGGGUAAGGGUAUGGUAUAUGGUUAUUAGGGUAUAGGUUAUGGUUAUUAGGGUAAGGGUAUGGGUUAUGGUUAUUAGGGUAAGGGUAUAGGCUAUGGUUAUUAGGGUAAGGGUAUAGGUUAUGGUUAUUACGGUAAGGGUAUGGGUUAAGCGGAGGGACGUCCCAACGACGCUGGAUUGCAUUGACAAUAAAAGAUUAGGGCUAACUCAUCUGAACCUAUUACAUUCCUAUGUAGCAGAUGCUCUUAUCCAGAACAAUUUACAAGCGCAAUUAGGGUUAAGUGCCUUGCUGAAGGACACAGACAGAUUUUUCACCUAAUCGGCUCUGGGAUUUGAACCACAGGGACUUAAAACAGCAACCUUUCGGUUAC
RNAcentral lists this long non-coding RNA (1015 nucleotides) under Salmo salar (Atlantic salmon). Its description in RNAcentral is "lncRNA (ENSSSAG00000082365.1)". The record is from RNAcentral. Lineage: Eukaryota; Metazoa; Chordata; Actinopteri; Salmoniformes; Salmonidae.